Long non-coding RNA from Antechinus flavipes (yellow-footed antechinus), 305 nucleotides. RefSeq lists it as uncharacterized. Lineage: Eukaryota; Metazoa; Chordata; Mammalia; Dasyuromorphia; Dasyuridae. The record is from RefSeq and is a predicted model, not a curated record. The transcript is spliced from 2 exons.
UCAUUUUGCUCUUUGUACCCCUGGGGAUCUGGUCACUCAGCAUGCUUUCUGGAUUGGAUUAGAUCUUUGAAUCUUUACCGGAGCCAUUUUGCACUAUGGAUUGAGAUCCAGAUGUGUCCUCCAGGUCGUGAUGAGAAUAUUACUUAGUGCUGACAUCUCCCAAUUCCCCUGGAAACCACCACCAAAUCACUGAAAAUGGGACUUUUAAGAUCACUUCAAAAUGUGAGUGGUAAACACUUAUUUGGAUUUCGGUGACUACUAUCCUAGUGUCAAUGGGUAAGGCAAAAUAAACUUGGAAAAACUAA